RNAcentral lists this ribosomal RNA (301 nucleotides) under uncultured bacterium. Its description in RNAcentral is "partial 16S ribosomal RNA". It matches the Rfam family "Bacterial small subunit ribosomal RNA", at positions 509 to 809 of the family's 1533-position model. The record is from RNAcentral.
CAGUAGCCGCGGUAAAACGUAGGUGACAAGCGUUGUUCGGAAUUACUGGGCGUAAAGCGCACGUAGGCGGCUACUCAAGUCGGGGGUGAAAGCCCGGGGCUCAACCCCGGAACUGCCCUCGAAACUAGGUAGCUAGAAUCUUGGAGAGGUCAGUGGAAUUCCGAGUGUAGAGGUGAAAUUCGUAGAUACUCGCAAGAACACCAGUGGCGAAGGCGGCUCACUGGCCCGAUACUGACGCUGAGGUGCGAAAGCGUGGGGAGCAAACAGGAUUAGAUACCCGAGUAGUCCCUGUCUCUUAUAA